Molecule: ribosomal RNA, 447 nt
Filed under: uncultured bacterium
Lineage: Bacteria
Description: partial 16S ribosomal RNA
Rfam family: Bacterial small subunit ribosomal RNA
Source: RNAcentral
CCCAGACUCCUACGGGAGGCAGCAGUGGGGGAUAUUGCACAAUGGGGGGAACCCUGAUGCAGCGACGCCGCGUGGGUGAAGGAGCGUUUCGGCGCGUAAAGCCCUAUCGGCAGGGAAGAAGGAGGACGGUACCUGACUAAGAAGCCCCGGCUAACUACGUGCCAGCAGCCGCGGUAAUACGUAGGGGGCAAGCGUUAUCCGGAUUUUCUGGGUGUAAAGGGGGCGCAGACGGCAGCGCAAGCCAGGAGUGAAAGCCCGGGGCCCAACCCCGGGACUGCUCUUGGAACUGCGCGGCUGGAGUGCAGGAGGGGCAGGCGGAAUUCCUGGUGUAGCGGUGAAAUGCGUAGAUAUCAGGAGGAACACCGGUGGCGAAGGCGGCCUGCUGGACUACGACUGACGUUGAGGCCCGAAAGCGUGGGGAGCAAACAGGAUUAGAUACCCGAGUAG